CGCCAUUAUUAAUAGUUCAGGGAAUAUACAGUAAUUCCAACUCUUGUAUCCAUUAAGACCAGCUGUAACAGUCUCGCGAUCUAAUGCCGUAGAUGCAUCUAGUUUCCUGCUAAACUUCCUAAUCUACCUCCUCAGCUCAAUCUGCUGUCUCCUACGGCCUUCUGGUCUUAUACAGAAUGUCUCUCCAAGUGAAACAUCAAGAAUCGCCUGCUCUUGUGCUUGUAACUACCUUCAAUCCACAUUUCUCAAUUUCCCAAUGAGAGAGUCAAUUUCUCAAUAAAUUAAGGAAGUCAGGUGUUUUAGAUUACAAAAAUGUGAUGUUUUUCCAAAACUUAGUUGUUGGAUCACAAGAAUGAAUAUGAUGGAUUCACUAAUGAACUACGUCUUGGAUCUCUUGAACAACGAUAUGAAAAUGUUAUAAAUGUAAAAACACAAUGAGCAACCCUAGAAUUUUCGUCCAUGACUAUAGUAUUUAUAGAUGGGGGCAAAUAGGUGUCAUGGGCGGUAUAAAACUCAUCAAAUUGCAACCUACUUUUUGGCUGGAUACAAAUGUCGCUUGAGUGAAUAACUAGCGAUAGCUGAGUAAUUGUUAGUAUUUGCAUCAUAACCUUCUCCUCCAAUGUUCGAUUUAGGUGAUUCAAAAUGCGUUGAAAAACUCACUCAGAGGGCUACAAAUAUUUAAGAAAUAGCCUUGUCCAAAUUCCAAUGUUUUCUAUGAGAAAAAUGUGUUGCAAGUUAGGACUGAGAAUUUGGAAUAUAACUUAUGCAGAUCUUUGAUAUCCUUUAAACUUCUAAUUGCAUUCCAAUAAUCAUAUGUGAUCUUUUUGGACAUCUUGAACUCCUUCAAAGACCAUACUACCAACUUCAAAAGAUUUUGUGACUUUUACAACUCUUUUACAUUAAUCCAAUUAUCUAAAGAAUUGCCAAUACACUAGAAACCUAACAUACUUGAAAUGGAAUUCACAUCGAUCUAAUAUAAUAGCAUGAAAUUCUCACAUAUUAGGUGUUGGUCCUCACAAUUCCCCUUUUCCUUCCCUAUUCCCUUCCCAUAUAGUAAAAAAAUAUUUUAAAAAGAAAUAAAAAUUGAAGUCCUUAAUUAAAUAAAUAAU
Molecule: long non-coding RNA, 1109 nt
Filed under: Olea europaea subsp. europaea
Lineage: Eukaryota; Viridiplantae; Streptophyta; Magnoliopsida; Lamiales; Oleaceae
Source: RNAcentral